UCCAAGCUUCUGGUGAUCUCUCAAUGC
Molecule: non-coding RNA, 27 nt
Filed under: Mus musculus (house mouse)
Lineage: Eukaryota; Metazoa; Chordata; Mammalia; Rodentia; Muridae
Source: RNAcentral